This 267-nucleotide ribosomal RNA is filed under the name Triticum aestivum (bread wheat). Its description in RNAcentral is "partial small subunit ribosomal RNA". The record is from RNAcentral. Lineage: Eukaryota; Viridiplantae; Streptophyta; Magnoliopsida; Poales; Poaceae.
AUGACAUGCCACGGGAUGAGCUUCCCCUUCGUGGUGUUCAUGUGCCACGCGGUGAACCCUACCAGGACGUACGAGGUGACGCUCGAGAGCGAGGACCUCACAUCGAGGAUGGUGCUGCUUGCCGUGUGCCACCUCGACACGUCUGAGUUCGACCCCAUGAAGAUGCCUGGACACGCCAAGCCAGGGGAUGCUCCGGGUUGCCACUUCAUCCCCAGGGACAGCGUCCUCUGGGCUCCGGUUGCACCCGCCGCCGCCACCGCUGCUUAA